Molecule: non-coding RNA, 88 nt
Filed under: unclassified sequences
Source: RNAcentral
AUACAGUUUCCACCGGGAAAUAAAUUACUAAAGAUAGCUGAUACUUUCGUUAGGUCUUUGAAGAAAGUAUCGACUAUCUUUUUUGUUU